GGAUGAUUGGGGUGAAGUCGUAACAAGGUUUCCGUAGGUGAACCUGCAGAAGGAUCA
This 57-nucleotide ribosomal RNA is filed under the name uncultured eukaryote. RNAcentral's name for it is "partial small subunit ribosomal RNA". The record is from RNAcentral.